CCUUUCUAAGGAUGAUCAAGAAUUGGGAUUCUUCCCUUUUUGAUCGCAUUAGACAAUAAAGGUUUUAAACAAACUUGCUUAAACUAAAACAAAAUUGUUUAAACCUUGUGCAUAUGACGCUAACUCUCCAUGAAAUCCCCCCUCUUAUUGAAGAGAAGCUCUUUUAACAAAAAGAGCCCCCAUCUCUCGAGGUCCCCUACCUCCCCCAUAAGAGAAGUUUCAUGAGGGCUUAGUGCCAUGUGUGAACAAUUAAAUGCAGACUAGCCGUCUUCGUUUCUCUUUCUUCAGAUGAUGAUCCCAAGCCUUCUGGCGCUCUCGUAAGAGAAAGCUGCUUUUUAAAAGCUUUCAGGAAAAAGAGCUUUAAAAAAGCUUUUCCAUAAGAUAAUGCCGGGGAAGGUUUUCCGGUUUAUCCCGGAGGGCUUGUAGCUCAGUUGGUUAGAGCGCGCGCUUGAUAAGCGUGAGGUCGGAGGUUCAAGUCCUCCCAGGCCCACCACUUUAAUCUAUUCUAAUUUCAUUCGUCCAUUGAAGACGUUAUCCAUUCCUUGAAGAAGCGCUUCUCAAAAGCCUUUUUUAUGAAAAUGUAACGCUUUUCUGUUUUUCUUAAAACUUAAAGAAGCAAAACUUAGAAAAGUUCAAAAGAAAAAAAGGUCUCUGUUAAACAGAUCCUAGUUUGAAAAGUUUUGUAUGCGUUAUGUUGUUUAGGGGCCGUAGCUCAGCUGGGAGAGCACCUGCUUUGCAAGCAGGGGGUCGUCGGUUCGAUCCCGUCCGGCUCCACCAUUUCAGGUCAUCAUCAUUGUUGUAAGAACAGUGUUUUGUGAGAGGUUUUAAAACCCUUUCGCUUGUUCUAUUGAAAUUGUGAAGAGAAGAUAUAUUCAGACAUGAUUUUUAUGCUCUGUCUUUUAAAAGAGAAUGUUGUAAAAAUUUUUUAAAAGAGGAGAUUGUAAAAAAAUGAUGUGUCGCAAGGGAAUGCUCAAAGCCCUUGCUUAUGAUUGGAAGCUUAACCGCGCCACUGAGUAUAUCUCGAGAAGCUGGUCUUUUCUGCUAAUAUUUCUGUUUGUUUUGCGCUUUGUUUUGCACAAGACAUAAGAGAAGCAGACAAACAAUACAAGAUUGCAAAACGUCCCAUACUCUAAAACGUAAAUGUUUCUUUCUCGUUCCAUGUUCAUUGUUCAUGAGAGAGAGUAAACAAUCGUUACGAUAAAAAUCGUUCCAAAGAGUGAAGAGUGGA
RNAcentral lists this transfer RNA (1228 nucleotides) under Bartonella sp. FG3-1. The stretch from base 417 to 490 matches the Rfam family "tRNA". The record is from RNAcentral. Lineage: Bacteria; Pseudomonadati; Pseudomonadota; Alphaproteobacteria; Hyphomicrobiales; Bartonellaceae.